UUUUAUAUUAUUAUGUAAUAUUCUUUUUAACUUAAAAAUGCAUUAUCUCACAAGUUUCCCCUUUUAAAAAAAAAUGAAUGGAAACUUAUUGGUCAAACAUGAAUUUUGGCCAAUAAGUUUAUGAUGAAUACGUAUUUAUCAUUUUCAAUGAUGAAUUUUUCAUCUCAAAAAAAGAAAAAAAAAAUGUAAUGAAAUAAAACAACUACUUAUGUGCUAGGUCAAAUUUGCCCCAUUAAACUAAAUUUAGAUCAUAAUAAGUUAUUGAUGUUUAAUUUAUCUAGUUAUUUUUAAGUACAUUUUGUGCUAUCUCCCAUCCUAUCUGAUAAAAACGGAUCUCAUGAUCUUAAGUCGAUCUUACCUAAGAUCGUAAGUUCCAAGUUUUCCGAUGAAGAGUGGAUUUAAUUGUAUUAGUGUCUACAAUUAAUUUUUCCUAUCUAAUACUAAUCGAUAAAACCUCAUUGGUAAGUGCUACAUGAUCUCGUGCAAACCCACGAUUAUGGACCUGAAUCAUUAAAUUAUUAGUAAGUUACUAUUACUAUUUUACAUUCAUUAAGCUAUUAUUUGUACUAUAGUCAAUUUUUAUAUCCAGUCCCUAAUUAUGCAUUACAUUAUUAUUCUAACAACAAUUAGUCUAUGGGUACAGGAAAUACCCAUAGAAUUCAAACAGAAUUUUGAAUGUGCUGACCUGACAUAGAAUUAUUCGUUUUUUAAUUCCUUUUCAAUUUAAGCCAAAAACUGGUUCCAAAAGCAAAUUGGUUUGACCCUUAAAAUGAACCCAUCUUCAUUUCCCCCAAAUUACAAAGCAAGAGGAAAAUCGUCACUUUUUUCAUCGUCGAAUUUGUGGUCCUCCAAAGUCGGUUGACAUCUAGACCAGUGAUUGGCGUGCACCAUCUGAUGUAUUGUAAAGACGACAGUCCACCGAAACCCAACUUGGAAACUGUAUUUGAAGAUAACAGUUGAAUCGUAGAUGUUGAGCAAAGUUGACUAGAAUGAGAAGAAGGAAUUUCGGAGUUUGUCACAGCUAUAGAAUUAACACUCACUACUUUGGACAAUACCAAACAAAACGUGGAUUCCCUUCAUGUAAAUGCGGAUUUCAAAAAUGUUUUGAGAUAAAACGAGAUACUGGAAACAAAGGGCGCUAGUUCUUCACGUGUAAUAAUGACUGUUGAUUUUUCAAUUGGGUGAAAAUGAAGAUUCAAGUGGGGAGUCGAGUAUCUUUAACGAAGAGGUGAAUCAUGAGCCCAAUGAGGAAUAUGAAGACUUGCCAAGAAUCUUCGACGGCCUAGCUCGAAUUUUCGAAAAAUGAGACAUGGACAUAACAUUGUACGUAAUAUUUCGCAAAGGAAAAAGGAAUUGUAGAAUGUGAUGGGAAAGAGAAGGGACCAACGUGAACGGGUAAUGUCAGUUUUUAUUUGCUAUAUGCUUUGUUCGUACCAUAAGACUUCUUGAUCAUAGUAGGCUCCAAUGUUCAAUACUUAAUUUGUCAAUGUCGUUCGAGCAUUGGACAUAAGUUUAAUAUUUUGCGAAUCAUUGUAAUAUAUUAACAAUUUGGAUAUCUGUUUCAUAUCAUGGUUUAUCUUGUGA
Molecule: long non-coding RNA, 1584 nt
Organism: Olea europaea var. sylvestris
Lineage: Eukaryota; Viridiplantae; Streptophyta; Magnoliopsida; Lamiales; Oleaceae
Exons: 2
Source: RefSeq, a predicted model, not a curated record